RNAcentral lists this ribosomal RNA (250 nucleotides) under uncultured bacterium. RNAcentral describes it as "partial 16S ribosomal RNA". It matches the Rfam family "Bacterial small subunit ribosomal RNA", at positions 524 to 773 of the family's 1533-position model. The record is from RNAcentral.
UACGUAGGGCGCAAGCGUUGUCCGGAAUUAUUGGGCGUAAAGAGCUCGUAGGCGGUUUGUCGCGUCUGCUGUGAAAACUGGAGGCUCAACCUCCAGCCUGCAGUGGGUACGGGCAGACUAGAGUGCGGUAGGGGAGACUGGAAUUCCUGGUGUAGCGGUGAAAUGCGUAGAUAUCAGGAGGAACACCAAUGGCGAAGGCAGGUCUCUGGGCCGUAACUGACGCUGAGGUGCGAAAGCGUGGGGAGCGAAC